This 1479-nucleotide long non-coding RNA is filed under the name Phoenix dactylifera (date palm). Its description in RNAcentral is "long non-coding RNA (PDAC_LNC002447)". The record is from RNAcentral. Lineage: Eukaryota; Viridiplantae; Streptophyta; Magnoliopsida; Arecales; Arecaceae.
UUUUCACAAAAACUCUGAUACUAAAAUCCCAACAUACGUAGGCUACGGCCACGAAAUCCAGUAGCAUGGGUCGCACAAAGUGCUAAACACUACUAUUGUUAUACACCGGUGGUACAGUGUCCAAACAUCACUAUUAUUAAACACCGGUGGUACGGUGUCCAAACACCAUUAUUCUAAUCACCAAUGGUACGGUGUCGAAACCCGACUCUCACAUAUACAGGUCGACAGGGCCAACGAAUAAUCCUCAUAGGCGGGGCCAGAUCAUAGCCAUGCUGAAAAUACAUACAUGUAUAUAAAAUAAAUUUUUCAUCAUUUGCCCAGUCACAUUUUUCAGAUUUCAUAACAUAUAAUAUAAAUUUCAAAUGAUAUUUAACAUGCGUGACCCAUUUUAAUAGGUACAAAAUAUAUCUCAAGAUUCAAUCACUAAUAAUUAUUUUAUCAAAUACUUUGAAAAAUAUACUUUGAGUAUUAAAUUAUUUACCUUUUAUUGCUUAAAUUCCACUUCAAACAAACAGAUCAAGUGCAUCUGUUUAGAUAUAAGAAAUUUUUUUGUUAAUUUCAGAGUAAAGCAAAAUCUAAAAUACUAUUAGACGUGGCCCAAUAGGGUCGCACACGACUGAGCUGAGCCCAAGUUGGGCUCAUAAUGGGUACGACCCAAAUAGGGUCCAACAAGGCUGAAGUAGGCCCAAGUUGGGCCCAUAAAGGGGUGUGGCCUCAAUUGGGCCCAAGUUGGGCCCGCAAUUAACAGAGCCCAAGCUUGGCCCAAUUCGGCCCAAUGGGCCUUUUUAUUUCUUUUCUUUUUCUUCUCUUUCUCUUCUUCUUUUUCUUUUCCCUUUCUUUUCUUCUUCCUAUUUCUUCCCAAAGCUUCCUUGUUUCCCUCCUUUUUUUCUUCUUCUCGAAGCAUUCGCUCAUCCCUUCUUUCUUUUCUUUCCCGAAGCAUCCUCCUUCCUCUUCUCUUCUCUUCUUCCUCUCACCUUCCCACUCUUCUCCUGUGAGCACACAAAAAAAAAAAGAUCCCAAGCCGGAGCUUGGGAAGAGGGGCGAUGGAGCUCUUGGAAGGGCCGGCCGAGGCCGGCAGCGCCUGCGGUGGCCCUCUCUUCUCCUGCGAUGGGGAGACACACCGGAAGAAGCCGGCGGCGUUGCAGGAUGACCGCGGCCGAGCCUGCGGCCGCUCCCUACGACGGUCACGGCUUUCAUAGCUGGGCUGCAGCAUCGCGGUGCUCAUGGCCAGGGUCAGCAGCGCUGGCGACGCACGCGGCCACACACGGUGAUCCUUUCCUUCUUACCCUUUCUCUCUUUCUUGCUUGCUUUCUUUCCUCCUCUCUCUCUCUGUUAUCCCAAGUAGAUCGGGAGGGAAGAAGGCUGGGAAGAGGAAAACUAAGAUGGUCGGAAGCUUACCUUACUUUGGAAAGGAGUCACGAGCGCCUUCUCCGGCGAUGCAGACGUCCGUUCAGGGAGCCCGGUCUCUGAGGAAGAAGG